GAAAGGCUUCGGCCGGACAGGGAUGGGCAUGCGGCGCAUUAGGCAGUAGGCGGGGUAACGGCCCACCUAACCGACGAUGCGUAGGGGUUCUGAGAGGAAGGUCCCCCACACUGGUACUGAGACACGGACCAGACUCCUACGGGAGGCAGCAGUGAGGAAUAUUGGUCAAUGGUCGGGAGACUGAACCAGCCAAGCCGCGUGAGGGAGGAAGGUACAGAGUAUCGUAAACCUCUUUUGUCAGGGAACAAAGACUGGGACGCGUCCCCGGAUGAGUGUACCUGAAGAAAAAGCAUCGGCUAACUCCGUGCCAGCAGCCGCGGUAAUACGGAGGAUGCGAGCGUUAUCCGGAUUUAUUGGGUUUAAAGGGUGCGCAGGCGGUCUGUUAAGUCAGCGGUCAAAGCCCGGGGCUCAACCCCGGCCCGCCGUUGAAACUGGCAGUCUCGAGUUGGAGAGAAGUAUGCGGAAUGCGCGGUGUAGCGGUGAAAUGCAUAGAUAUCGCGCAGAACUCCGAUUGCGAAGGCAGCAUGCCGGCUCCACACUGACGCUGAGGCACGAAAGCGUGGGUAUCGAACAGGAUUAGAUACCCUGGUAGUCCACGCAGUAAACGAUGAAUGCUGGCUGUCCGGGGGGACUGACCCCUGG
Molecule: ribosomal RNA, 642 nt
Filed under: uncultured bacterium
Lineage: Bacteria
Description: bacterial SSU rRNA
Rfam family: Bacterial small subunit ribosomal RNA
Source: RNAcentral